Molecule: ribosomal RNA, 404 nt
Filed under: uncultured bacterium
Lineage: Bacteria
Description: partial 16S ribosomal RNA
Rfam family: Bacterial small subunit ribosomal RNA
Source: RNAcentral
AUUGAACGCUGGCGGCAGGCCUAACACAUGCAAGUCGAGCGAGCGGCGGACGUGUGAGUAAUGCCUGGGAAUCUCCCAGUCGAGGGGGAUAAAAGGUGGAAACGACUGCUAAUACCGCAUCAGAUUUGAUUGCCCAGGUGGGAUUAGCUAGUUGGGGAGGUAAUGGCUCACCAAGGCGACGAUCCCUAGCUGGUCUGAGAGGAUGAGCAGCCAAACUGGAACUGAGACACGGUCCAGACUCCUACGGGAGGCAGCAGUGGGGAAUAUUGCACAAUGGGGGAAACCCUGAUGCAGCCAUGCCGCGUGUGUGAAGAAGGCCUUCGGGUUGUAAAGCACUUUCAGCGAGGAGGCGUUACUCGCAGAAGAAGCACCGGCUAACUCCGUGCCAGCAGCCGCGGUAAUAC